UACGAGGGGGGCAAGCGUUGUUCGGAAUUAUUGGGCGUAAAGGGUGCGUAGGCUGUGCGGUAAGUCACCUGUGAAAUCUCCGAGCUCAACUCGGAGCCUGCAGGCGAAACUGCCGUGCUGGAGUAUGGGAGAGGUGCGUGGAAUUCCCGGUGUAGCGGUGAAAUGCGUAGAUAUCGGGUAGAACACCAGUGGCGAAAGCAGCUCACUGGACCAUUACUGACGCUGAUGCACGAAAGCUAGGGGAGCAAACAGG
This 253-nucleotide ribosomal RNA is filed under the name uncultured bacterium. Its description in RNAcentral is "partial 16S ribosomal RNA". It matches the Rfam family "Bacterial small subunit ribosomal RNA", at positions 524 to 776 of the family's 1533-position model. The record is from RNAcentral.